This is an RNA transcript of Clupea harengus (Atlantic herring), 649 nucleotides long. It is a transcript of the gene named protein kinase, AMP-activated, beta 1 non-catalytic subunit, a, with no coding region annotated. The transcript is spliced from 2 exons. The record is from RefSeq and is a predicted model, not a curated record. NCBI's taxonomy places the organism in Eukaryota, Metazoa, Chordata, Actinopteri, Clupeiformes, Clupeidae.
CACCCCCGAAAAAGCCGAGGGAAUUAAUUAGCUUUGCGUUGAAGUAGCCUAAGUAGGCUACUUGUUUCAGUGUAGAGUAUCUAUGGUUUUUCACACCUUUAAACACCUUUUCUCUAAUUAUGAAUGCAUUGUUUCAGACUGAACAAUUCUAAAGAAAAAGGAAUAGUGUAUAGCAAAGAAAAAACACGAGACCUACUCUGUUAUAAAGUAUGGCCUACCACCAUUAUUCCACCAAUUUUAUUUUUUCGAAUGAGCAUUGAUGAGGUUAUUACAGUAAUUUACAUUUCCCAAGCACUUUAUUGAAUAGCCCCUUUUCUGUAAUGACAGGCUUAAUGCGAGUUUAUUAGAGUCUUGGGAAUUGGCACUCAUUCCGAUACGGACUGUCAUUCACACAUGGUCUCCUACCUACAUGAUGAAUAUUGAAUACUCCAUAUGACUCCGGAGAGAAAAUAGGACAGGGAGGAGGGGCACCUCAUGUGACGUCGAAUGAUAGCAACAUGGAAAAAAUGAUGAAGAUAGCCGAACAGAAAAUAAGUACACGAGUUAGACGACAACAAAUAGCUGUGUGAGCCCCACAGGCACAGUUGCAAGCAGCUUCCUGGUUCUUGCCCUGUGUGACCUCCGUGCAAGACCAGGGAACGGCAUCAUG